GACGAACGCUGGCGGCGUGCUUAACACAUGCAAGUCGAACGGAAAGGCCCUUCGGGGUACUCGAGUGGCGAACGGGUGAGUAACACGUGGGUGAUCUGCCCUGCACUUUGGGAUAAGCCUGGGAAACUGGGUCUAAUACCGAAUAGGACCACGCGCUUCAUGGUGUGUGGUGGAAAGCUUUUGCGGUGUGGGAUGGGCCUGCGGCCUAUCAGCUUGUUGGUGGGGUAAUGGCCUACCAAGGCGACGACGGGUAGCCGGCCUGAGAGGGUGACCGGCCACACUGGGACUGAGAUACGGCCCAGACUCCUACGGGAGGCAGCAGUGGGGAAUAUUGCACAAUGGGCGCAAGCCUGAUGCAGCGACGCCGCGUGAGGGAUGACGGCCUUC
RNAcentral lists this ribosomal RNA (387 nucleotides) under uncultured bacterium. Its description in RNAcentral is "bacterial SSU rRNA". It matches the Rfam family "Bacterial small subunit ribosomal RNA", at positions 28 to 419 of the family's 1533-position model. The record is from RNAcentral.